Molecule: non-coding RNA, 74 nt
Organism: Danionella cerebrum
Lineage: Eukaryota; Metazoa; Chordata; Actinopteri; Cypriniformes; Danionidae
Source: the annotation of a GenBank genome assembly
UGCAGCAUGGCUUAGUAGGUUAAAAUGCCUGUCUAGAAAACAUGAGGUCCUGGGUUCGAAUCCUAGUGGUGCCU